CUUCGGGGGACGAUAACGGCGUCGAGCGGCGGACGGGUGAGUAAUGCCUAGGAAAUUGCCCUGAUGUGGGGGAUAACCAUUGGAAACGAUGGCUAAUACCGCAUGAUGCCUACGGGCCAAAGAGGGGGACCUUCGGGCCUCUCGCGUCAGGAUAUGCCUAGGUGGGAUUAGCUAGUUGGUGAGGUAAGGGCUCACCAAGGCGACGAUCCCUAGCUGGUCUGAGAGGAUGAUCAGCCACACUGGAACUGAGACACGGUCCAGACUCCUACGGGAGGCAGCAGUGGGGAAUAUUGCACAAUGGGCGCAAGCCUGAUGCAGCCAUGCCGCGUGUGUGAAGAAGGCCUUCGGGUUGUAAAGCACUUUCAGUCGUGAGGAAGGUGGUGUAGUUAAUAGCUGCAUUAUUUGACGUUAGCGACAGAAGAAGCACCGGCUAACUCCGUGCCAGCAGCCGCGGUAAUACGGAGGGUGCGAGCGUUAAUCGGAAUUACUGGGCGUAAAGCGCAUGCAGGUGGUUUGUUAAGUCAGAUGUGAAAGCCCGGGGCUCAACCUCGGAAUAGCAUUUGAAACUGGCAGACUAGAGUACUGUAGAGGGGGGUAGAAUUUCAGGUGUAGCGGUGAAAUGCGUAGAGAUCUGAAGGAAUACCGGUGG
Molecule: ribosomal RNA, 649 nt
Filed under: Vibrio neocaledonicus
Lineage: Bacteria; Pseudomonadati; Pseudomonadota; Gammaproteobacteria; Vibrionales; Vibrionaceae
Description: bacterial SSU rRNA
Rfam family: Bacterial small subunit ribosomal RNA
Source: RNAcentral